AUUCUUUUGCUCCGCUCCGUCCUGCCUCCUUCGGAGCUCUGCCUUCCAGCCGGGCUCGGCUGUGCUUUGUCCGGAGAUGGCGAGCGAAGGGAAGCCCCGGCCAGGCCAGGCCUGGCGGCUACCGCUGGAGAUUGGGCGCGCCCGGUUCCCGGCGCCGCGGCGGCAGCUUUGCAACUCGCAACCUGGCUAAUUUCCUGCGUCCUCUGGCACCAGGAAAGAGGACGAUUCUUCUCUCGGGCUGCCCAAGCGACAGCUGUCAGAGGGGCAGGAGCUUCUGGGAGCCACCGUCUGAAGGCUACGUGUGCCGCCUGGCCAUUCAAACUGUCAAUUUUAGGUCCAGAAGUGUCCAAACGACAAGUUCUCAAAACUCUCUGAAAUAUGGCUCCCUCCGAGUUAAGCAAUUCUGAAAGGCAUUCUCUGGGAAAAGUCUGUGGAAGAGAGAGGGAUCUUCUUGCAAAUAAUGUGGUCUCAGGCAAGGACACAGCAUCUUGGCUGUCUGCUAAAAAAAAAAAAAAAAUGCCUAGACUCUCAGUGGAAAUUGAGUG
RNAcentral lists this small RNA (545 nucleotides) under Pongo abelii (Sumatran orangutan). RNAcentral's name for it is "processed transcript". Lineage: Eukaryota; Metazoa; Chordata; Mammalia; Primates; Hominidae. The record is from RNAcentral.